This 301-nucleotide ribosomal RNA is filed under the name uncultured bacterium. RNAcentral's name for it is "partial 16S ribosomal RNA". It matches the Rfam family "Bacterial small subunit ribosomal RNA", at positions 509 to 809 of the family's 1533-position model. The record is from RNAcentral.
CAGCCGCCGCGGUAAUACAGAGGGUGCGAGCGUUAAUCGGAUUUACUGGGCGUAAAGCGUGCGUAGGCGGCUUUUUAAGUCGGAUGUGAAAUCCCUGAGCUUAACUUAGGAAUUGCAUUCGAUACUGGGAAGCUAGAGUAUGGGAGAGGAUGGUAGAAUUCCAGGUGUAGCGGUGAAAUGCGUAGAGAUCUGGAGGAAUACCGAUGGCGAAGGCAGCCAUCUGGCCUAAUACUGACGCUGAGGUACGAAAGCAUGGGGAGCAAACAGGAUUAGAUACCCCGGUAGUCCCUGUCUAUUAUAA